UAAACGACUCUCGGCAACGGAUAUCUCGACUCUCGCAUCGAUGAAGAACGUAGCGAAAUGCGAUACUUGGUGUGAAUUGCAGAAUCCCGCGAACCAUCGAGUCUUUGAACGCAAGUUGCGCCCGAAGCCAUUAGGUUGAGGGCACGUCUGCCUGGGCGUCUCAC
This 164-nucleotide ribosomal RNA is filed under the name Camellia mingii. RNAcentral describes it as "5.8S ribosomal RNA". It matches the Rfam family "5.8S ribosomal RNA". From Rfam's summary of the family: 5.8S ribosomal RNA (5.8S rRNA) is a component of the large subunit of the eukaryotic ribosome. It is transcribed by RNA polymerase I as part of the 45S precursor that also contains 18S and 28S rRNA. Functionally, it is thought that 5.8S rRNA may be involved in ribosome translocation. Lineage: Eukaryota; Viridiplantae; Streptophyta; Magnoliopsida; Ericales; Theaceae. The record is from RNAcentral.